GCAGCGAUGCAUGGAGCGGACCAGUACUAAUCGGUCGAGGACUUAACCAAG
Molecule: ribosomal RNA, 51 nt
Filed under: Lacticaseibacillus paracasei
Lineage: Bacteria; Bacillati; Bacillota; Bacilli; Lactobacillales; Lactobacillaceae
Description: Lactobacillus paracasei partial 23S ribosomal RNA
Source: RNAcentral